This 76-nucleotide transfer RNA is filed under the name Empedobacter brevis. Its description in RNAcentral is "tRNA-Gly". It matches the Rfam family "tRNA". Rfam says of the family: Transfer RNA (tRNA) molecules are approximately 80 nucleotides in length. Their secondary structure includes four short double-helical elements and three loops (D, anti-codon, and T loops). Lineage: Bacteria; Pseudomonadati; Bacteroidota; Flavobacteriia; Flavobacteriales; Weeksellaceae. The record is from RNAcentral. RNAcentral also lists the same sequence under 4 other names.
GCGGGAAUAGCUCAAUUGGUAGAGCGUCAGCCUUCCAAGCUGAAUGUUGCGGGUUCGAGUCCCGUUUCCCGCUCUA